GGAAGCUUUUACAAUAGAAGCCCAUGAACCAUGUCAGGUCCGGAAGGAAGCAGCAUUAAGUGGUCAACUUUUAUGUGUAGCAGGCUGAAGCG
This 92-nucleotide signal recognition particle RNA is filed under the name Bacillota bacterium. RNAcentral's name for it is "Firmicutes bacterium (gut metagenome) signal recognition particle sRNA small type". It matches the Rfam family "Bacterial small signal recognition particle RNA". Rfam says of the family: The signal recognition particle (SRP) is a universally conserved ribonucleoprotein involved in the co-translational targeting of proteins to membranes. Lineage: Bacteria; Bacillati; Bacillota. The record is from RNAcentral.